CAGUGGGGGAGUGGACACCCUUUUCAGUGCGUGGUAUCUCAGGGUCCAGCGCACCCCUCUACCCCUCUGCCAAGUUCCGAGCCACCUCUGGUGGUGGCAGGGCCAGGUGCCUAGGACGCAGGAAAGCCAGGUCGACUCGCCGCUACUGAUGCCAGCGGCCAGGCAGUGGAUGGGGCUGCGUCGGGUCGACCUGCGACAGUGGACGCACUCGUGCCAUCCAUGCGAUGGGCAGGGUGUGUCGACGCGGCUCGAGCGUAUCCCCACCCCCGGCCCUCACCGACUACUGGUGAGUGGGCUGGGCCACCGGGAGGGGGAUGCGGCAGGUGACGACGGCCGUGGUAUGAGCGGCUGCGAGGCGUGGGGUGGGUAGGGCUUCGCGCGAAGGACGCGGUCUCAGAUGGGCGAGCUCGCUCAUUGCGGUGGCGUUUGGCUACCGCUGCACUGCACCACGCCGAUGGUUCGGCGGCAGGCUGGGGGUAGCGUGGCGCUGAGCUGAUGAUGUGUGGCGGAGAAGGAUCGCGCUGAUGAUUACAAGAGAACCGCAUCCGCGGCUUUGAAUCACCAGCCUUCAGGCAUCAGCGCGCCCUCGACGCGAGCGCUGUGGCAGAGGUGGUGGCGAAUUUCCCUCUUGUUUUGCUGUUUCGCGCAUUGCUUUGGAGAGCACGCACACCCACACGGAAAGCGUACGCAAGCGCUUCGGGUGGUGCCCUCCUCCCCCCUCCCCCGCCUUCCGCACCUCGCCGACUCUCCUCCCUUAGCAUCCCCCCUCUCUCUUUACCCCUCUCGCGCUCAG
This 793-nucleotide unclassified non-coding RNA is filed under the name Leishmania donovani. Its description in RNAcentral is "gene:unknown". The record is from RNAcentral. Lineage: Eukaryota; Euglenozoa; Kinetoplastea; Trypanosomatida; Trypanosomatidae.